GGAGGAUGCGAGCGUUAUCCGGAUUCAUUGGGUUUAAAGGGUGCGCAGGCGGAAUAAUAAGUCAGUGGUGAAAUCUCUCGGCUCAACCGGGAAACUGCCAUUGAUACUGCUAUUCUUGAGUACAGUUGAAGUGGGCGGAAUGUGUCAUGUAGCGGUGAAAUGCUUAGAUAUGACACAGAACACCGAUAGCGAAGGCAGCUCACUAAGCUGUAACUGACGCUCAUGCACGAAAGCGUGGGGAUCAAACAGGGAUUAGAUACCCUGGUAGUCCACGCUGUAAACGAUGAUCACUCGUUGUUAGCGAUAUACUGUUAGCGACUGAGCGAAAGCAUUAAGUGAUCCACCUGGGGAGUACGGCGGCAACGUUG
RNAcentral lists this ribosomal RNA (368 nucleotides) under uncultured bacterium. RNAcentral describes it as "bacterial SSU rRNA". It matches the Rfam family "Bacterial small subunit ribosomal RNA", at positions 527 to 896 of the family's 1533-position model. The record is from RNAcentral.